GGAGCUCACCUCUUCUAGGCUGCUGGCUGCGUACAGGGCUCUGAAAGGGGGGUUUAAAUAAAUUAAACAGGGUCUUUAAAGCACUGAUGGGACUGGUGAUGAGAAAUCCGUAUUCUCACAGCUACAAACACACCUCUGCAAUCUCACAGAGAGGCUUAUCUUAGUGAAGCAGUGAGGUAAUGCUUGAGAUUAUUAGAAACUAACCCCCUAGUGACCUGGUCAUCUUUUGACCCAGAGAUAUUUCAGCUGUGCCGACUGACCUUGUAAAACCAAGUGAUCUAAUUAUUGCCCUGUGAACGAGAGUAAAGGCCAUGGGAAAAUGAUAGGUCCAAGCAAUAUACUUCAUUGGAAUUCAUUGUGAAAUCACAAUUAGUUACAUCUAAUAUAUAUAAAUUCUGAUAAGGACGUGUGCUAAAGUUUAACACGCUUUAAACAUACGUGCUGCUGCCCAACAAAAGUGUUCCUGUUUUUUUUUUUUUUUCCUUCCUUCCAGAGAGUAAAGGUCAGACCCCAGAGCUGCUGUCUCCAGAGGUCUUCACUGUGAAAAGAGGCCGGCGCGCUCUCAGCUUUGAGGAGGACGGCAGAGGAAGGGGGUGGGGAUCACAGCGAGGACUGCGACCGGCAGCUAGAAGCGGAACUGCAACAGAUCCAACAGGACAUGCAGCGUUUCCAUGACGACAAGCUAAACCUGAAGUAAGGAUUUGUUUUUCUCUCUCUGUCUCAGCAGGCUGUUAACAUGUUAUAUGAUCCAUGAAUGAAUGUAAUUAAAACUAAAGCAGAGCCACUGAUACACAACGGGCUGCCUGAGUCAUCAGAUCAGAUUACCGUUCAUUUUCUGGCUUUAUCUCGUGCUGAGCGUUUGAGCAAUACGCAUCACAGAGCACACAGACAUUAUUUCUUCAGUAUCAACUUCAUUUAAACUUAAUUUCAGCUUUUUAUACAAGCUUUACAUUACAAUGCAUUCAAAUCAGUCAAUCAGUGAAACCCUGAGGGCACGCUUCCCUGCACCUCCCCACAGCUCAGGGCUUACAAAUAAACAAUCUUCAGCAGGCAAUGCUUCGGCAGUGGAUCACCUGGUGUGUGUUUCUAUACUUUCUUCUGUUGUACAGGACCUGGCACAAACAGGCUGACAUGCUGAGAGCCCGGCUGCAGGGAAAUGAGGAGGAGGAGGAGGAGGAGGGAGAGGAAGCCCAGCAAAUACAGCAGGACCUGGAGGAAGUAAGAGCAGGAUCGGGGAAUCCGAGAGAUGCACAAUGCAUUCUGAGCAAAGGCAAUCAAGAGUUUAUUUCCAUCCCUGCAGAAUACGACUCCCAUUGCAGAUUGAUCCAUUCCUGCUUUUACUAAAACACACCUGAGCUUGUUACCUAUAGACUGUGGCUGAUCACUCUCGUAGUAAAGCCUGGAAUGGGUGAAACUGCUAGGCAAUAGGAGUCAUAAUUCUAUCCCUGGUUCUGUGAAUUCCUAAAUAGAAUGUACAUGUGUGUGUGUGUGUGUGUGUGUGUGUGUGUGUGUAUAUACACACACACACAUUUUAAUUUUUUUUUUUUAUGCAUGUUAAUAACAGCAGAAAGAUGUUUCUCCUGCAGCUAGUCAGCAUUUCUUUUUAAUUUUGUUAAUCUCUCUAAAUAAAAAGGAUAUUUAUUUAGACGGGCAGUUCAGUUCCGACCCUGUGAUCAUUAUUAAACCCGUUCUCCACUUUCUCAGAGAGAGGCUGAAGCAGGAAAGACCUCAGACUGAGCAGCACGCUGCUCGGAUUAAAGAGAUUCGCAGCAUGCUGGCAGCGUGACCUCCCUGCCUUCCUCCAUCACAAACAACAAGCAAGCUUUUUCAGGACUGAGCUGGGAACGCAGUCGCAAUGGACGUUACAAUGGAAAUUGUAAAUUUGACAUGCUAAAUUAUUUGUUACCUAAUUUAAAACUGUUUAAAUAAAAAAUACAUAUUUGCACAUUGUCCCCCGACUCUUUAUAAGGUUAGAUUAUUAUUACUAUUUUUUUUUUUUGAAAUUCUUCAGAACCCAAAAAAUAAUGCAAAUGAAAACCAUCUAAAUGAAAAUUUACAAAACCCAAUUAAGAAUAGGCAUUUUUAAAUUUGUAUUAAUGACAUUUUUUUUAUUUAAAACAUAUGCAGUGUUAAAUGAGUACAUGAUUCAAGUAUUUUACAUUACAUAUAAAAAAUACUGCAUAACUAACUUGAAAUCACCCAGUGGGUUCUCUAGUCGGAGCUACUCAGCCUAGAAAGUUCUUAGCAUCAACCUGCCCCUUGUUUU
This is a long non-coding RNA of Polyodon spathula (Mississippi paddlefish), 2266 nucleotides long. RefSeq lists it as uncharacterized. NCBI's taxonomy places the organism in Eukaryota, Metazoa, Chordata, Actinopteri, Acipenseriformes, Polyodontidae. The record is from RefSeq and is a predicted model, not a curated record. The transcript has 2 exons.